UAAGGUGACCAGGAGUCCUGGUUUGCCUGGGACUGAGGAGAUUCCCAGGACAUGGGAAAACCAGGAAAAGUCCAGACAAGCUGAGAGGAGUUG
Molecule: microRNA precursor, 93 nt
Filed under: Choloepus hoffmanni (Hoffmann's two-fingered sloth)
Lineage: Eukaryota; Metazoa; Chordata; Mammalia; Pilosa; Megalonychidae
Description: miRNA (ENSCHOG00000015420.1)
Source: RNAcentral